GGGAGUGUAGCUCAGUGGGACAGCACUUGCCUAGCACGUGAGAGGCCUUGGGUUCAGUCCCCAGCACUGCCA
RNAcentral lists this transfer RNA (72 nucleotides) under Heterocephalus glaber (naked mole-rat). It matches the Rfam family "tRNA". From Rfam's summary of the family: Transfer RNA (tRNA) molecules are approximately 80 nucleotides in length. Lineage: Eukaryota; Metazoa; Chordata; Mammalia; Rodentia; Bathyergidae. The record is from Rfam by way of RNAcentral.